Molecule: ribosomal RNA, 381 nt
Filed under: uncultured bacterium
Lineage: Bacteria
Description: bacterial SSU rRNA
Rfam family: Bacterial small subunit ribosomal RNA
Source: RNAcentral
AUUGAACGCUGGCGGCAUGCCUUACACAUGCAAGUCGAACGGUAGAGUAGCAAUACUUGAGAGUGGCGAACGGGUGAGUAAUAUAUCGGAACGUGCCCAGUCGUGGGGGAUAACGUAGAGAAAUUUACGCUAAUACCGCAUACGAUCUAAGGAUGAAAGCGGGGGAUUCGUAAGAACCUCGCGCGAUUGGAGCGGCUGAUAUCAGAUUAGGUUGUUGGUGAGGUAAAAGCUCACCAAGCCGACGAUCUGUAGCUGGUUUGAGAGAACGACCAGCCACACUGGGACUGAGACACGGCCCAGACUCCUACGGGAGGCAGCAGUGGGAAUUUUGGACAAUGGGCGAAAGCCUGAUCCAGCAAUGCCGCGUGCAGGAAGAAGGCC